Molecule: ribosomal RNA, 744 nt
Filed under: uncultured bacterium
Lineage: Bacteria
Description: bacterial SSU rRNA
Rfam family: Bacterial small subunit ribosomal RNA
Source: RNAcentral
AGAGUUUGAUCCUGGCUCAGGACGAACGCUGGCGGCGUGCCUAAUACAUGCAAGUCGAGCGGACUGAUGGGAGCUUGCUCCCUGAAGUUAGCGGCGGACGGGUGAGUAACACGUGGGUAACCUGCCUGUAAGAUUGGGAUAACUCCGGGAAACCGGAGCUAAUACCGGAUAAUAUUUUGAACCGCAUGGUUCGAAAUUGAAAGAUGGUUUCGGCUAUCACUUACAGACGGACCCGCGGCGCAUUAGCUAGUUGGUGAGGUAACGGCUCACCAAGGCAACGAUGCGUAGCCGACCUGAGAGGGUGAUCGGCCACACUGGGACUGAGACACGGCCCGGACUCCUACGGGAGGCAGCAGUAGGGAAUCUUCCGCAAUGGACGAAAGUCUGACGGAGCAACGCCGCGUGGAACGAUGAAGGCCUUCGGGUCGUAAAGUUCUGUUGUUAGGGAAGAACAAGUACCAGAGUAACUGCUGGUACCUUGACGGUACCUAACCAGAAAGCCACGGCUAACUACGUGCCAGCAGCCGCGGUAAUACGUAGGUGGCAAGCGUUGUCCGGAAUUAUUGGGCGUAAAGCGCGCGCAGGCGGUUUCUUAAGUCUGAUGUGAAAGCCCACGGCUCAACCGUGGAGGGUCAUUGGAAACUGGGGAACUUUGAGUGCAGAAGAGGAGAGUGGAAUUCCACGUGUAGCGGUGAAAUGCGUAGAGAUGUGGAGGAACACCAGUGGCGAAGGCGACUCUCUGGU